RNAcentral lists this ribosomal RNA (798 nucleotides) under Triticum aestivum (bread wheat). Its description in RNAcentral is "partial small subunit ribosomal RNA". The record is from RNAcentral. Lineage: Eukaryota; Viridiplantae; Streptophyta; Magnoliopsida; Poales; Poaceae.
AUGGACGGCGGCGGCGGCAACAGCCCGGACCUGCAGCCGGCGGAGCCGGUGCGGUCGCGGUGGACGCCCAAGCCGGAGCAGAUACUGAUCCUGGAGUCCAUCUUCAACAGCGGCAUGGUGAACCCGCCCAAGGACGAGACCGUGCGCAUCCGCAAGCUCCUCGAGCGCUUCGGCGCCGUCGGCGACGCCAACGUCUUCUACUGGUUCCAGAACCGCCGCUCCCGCUCCCGCCGCCGCCAGCGCCAGCUCCAGGCGCAGGCGCAGGCGCAGGCCCAGGCCCAGGCGCAGGCGUCCGCCGCCUCCUCUGGGUCGCCGCCCGCGCCUGGCGGCCUCGGCUCGGCGGCCUCUUCCACGUCGCUCGGGCUGUUCGCGCACGGAGGCGCCGCGUACAGCUCGUCCUCCUCAUCGUCGUCGUGGCCGCCCUCGCCGCCGUCGGUGGGGAUGGUGGGGGACAUGGACCAGUGCGGGGGCGGCGACGACCUGUUCGCCAUCUCGCGGCAGAUGGGGUACGCGGACGGCGGCGGCGGCGGCUCCGGGUCGUCGUCGUUCUCUGCGGCCGCCGCGCAGCAGCAGCAGCAGCAGCUCUACUACUCGUGCCAACCUGCGGGCAUCACGGUGUUCAUCAACGGAGUGGCGACGGAGGUGCCACGGGGCCCCAUGGACCUGCGCUCCAUGUUCGGGCACGACGUGAUGCUCGUCCACUCCAGCGGCGGCCUCCUCCCCGUCGACGACUACGGCGUGCUCAUGCAGAGCUUGCAGAUGGGCGAGAGCUACUACCUGGUCGCGAGGUCAAAUUAA